This 122-nucleotide transfer RNA is filed under the name Annulohypoxylon nitens. RNAcentral describes it as "tRNA-Ser". It matches the Rfam family "tRNA". From Rfam's summary of the family: Transfer RNA (tRNA) molecules are approximately 80 nucleotides in length. The record is from RNAcentral. Lineage: Eukaryota; Fungi; Ascomycota; Sordariomycetes; Xylariales; Hypoxylaceae.
GGCACGAUGUCGGAGUGGUUAACGAGUGAGACUUGAAUUGUCAAGAAUCUUCUUAACAAGAAAUUCUUGUAUAUUGCUAUCUCAUGCCUUCGGGCGCGCAGGUUCGAAUCCUGCUCGUGUCG